Molecule: ribosomal RNA, 253 nt
Filed under: uncultured bacterium
Lineage: Bacteria
Description: partial 16S ribosomal RNA
Rfam family: Bacterial small subunit ribosomal RNA
Source: RNAcentral
UACAGAGGUCCCAAGCGUUGUUCGGAUUCAUUGGGCGUAAAGGGCGCGUAGGCGGCUUGCCAAGUCAGGGGUGAAAUCUUUCGGCUCAACCGGAAAACGGCUCCUGAUACUGGCGGGCUGGAGGGAGGUAGGGGCAGACGGAACUUCCGGUGGAGCGGUGAAAUGCGCAGAUAUCAGGAGGAACACCCGUGGCGAAGGCGGCUCUCUGGGACGGUACUGACGCUGAGACGCGAAAGCGUGGGGAGCGAACAGG